UUAUUCUUCGUCGCUACAGCUAAGAUGAAGGGAAUUACUUUAAUAGUUUUGUGCACAAUCCUUGUGUUGUCAUCAUUGAUAAAUGUAACAUAUGCGAUCAACUUAGUAAAUCUUAACUUCCCGUCAAAAAAAAAUUACCCAUCAGAGACAACAUUACAGUGUCGAGAUGGGUAUCAUAUCGUGGUUAGAAAGGGUAUUUUAUAUUAUAAUAACGGCAUGACGAACGAAAAAGCGUGGUAUGCGCCAAAGAUGGCGUGUGAUUUUGAAAAAACAUGCAGAUUUAAACUUGUGGAAGAACAAUAUAAUUAUUUGAAUUUAAACCCGAGAGGAAACUUACAACUUACUAUUCAAUACGAUUGUAAACAAAAUAACUAUCAAGGAACUCCAAGAAGGAUAAAACAGUAUGGACAAAUCGGAGACUGUCCGCAUGACUCUUUUGUUCAGAAACACGUUGCUUAUUUUAACGAUAAUAAUAUCGCCUCUGAUUCGCAAACGGCACAAAUGGAAAGGGAAGUUAUUGCCAUGAGCGUCUGUGGUCAAGUCAGACGUUUUAGGGUUCGCAAUCCAAAUGCCCCACUCGAUCCAAGUUAUUACACAGUGUAUUUGAUACAUGAAAAAAAUCAACUCAACAAUAAUUUCGUGCCAAGUGAAGAGAAAUGUCAACUAACGGGAAAUGCUCUUGCCCGUUCAUUUAAGUAUCAGUGUAGAAGAGAAGCCAAUAAAUGGACAUGUAAUUUCGAAAGCAAGGGAGAGGAUCUGGCUAGACAUUACAAAAGUAAUGGCCAUAUAGACUUGUAACCCAACUCAAACCAAAACCGUAACCGUAACCGAAAUCGGAAUUUCUCCUAGAUGCUUUGAUUGGAAAGUGAACACAUUACGAAACACAACACAGUGUACUACAGUUUCAAGAAAUUGUUUUAUUAAAAACAUAUUCGCAAUUUAAUAUUACACAUAUACAAAGAAAAUAAAAAUUCUUAAAUUGACUUUUUUUCCGCUUAAUAUAUCAAUAAAUGUUAUUUCACUUUUUUGCAUAUUUUA
Drosophila rhopaloa is the source of this 1038-nucleotide long non-coding RNA. RefSeq lists it as uncharacterized. The record is from RefSeq and is a predicted model, not a curated record. Lineage: Eukaryota; Metazoa; Arthropoda; Insecta; Diptera; Drosophilidae. The transcript is spliced from 2 exons.